AUGAAUGUGGCAUGGAUUUUCAUGAACCCUGUAUCAACAUGCCAGGUACAGCAUGGGCAGCAGCACUUAGUUCCAGAUACAUUGUCCCACCAGUGUGCCUCAAGCUUGGCCUGGAAGAAGGUUCCUAAGAUCCAGUCGCAAUGUCUCAUUCAGUCUUUGAGCUUAU
This 166-nucleotide small RNA is filed under the name Sphenodon punctatus (tuatara). RNAcentral describes it as "TUC338 (ENSSPUG00000000313.1)". The record is from RNAcentral. Lineage: Eukaryota; Metazoa; Chordata; Lepidosauria; Sphenodontia; Sphenodontidae.